CUUUAGUCUAAACCUUCUCUCUCUGUCACCUUUGUUGUCCCUAUCCUGCUUGAUUUUCAUUCCACUAGAAGCAGUCUCUCUUCAGUGUAGGUCCCUGCCCUAAAAGGGAUCCCUGGCAGGUGAUUUCAGAGGAGCUACACUGCUCCAUCCCCUUCAGCUUAUCUUACACAAGCCCCUUGAGCCCUACUGGUAUUGGAGAAAACAAACCCCUCCUUUUAGAGCUGCUGUUCUGGAAUCAUCCCACCAAUGCUUUCCUUGC
RNAcentral lists this long non-coding RNA (259 nucleotides) under Homo sapiens (human). RNAcentral describes it as "LHRI_LNC1539.1". The record is from RNAcentral. Lineage: Eukaryota; Metazoa; Chordata; Mammalia; Primates; Hominidae.